GGUUGUGGAUACUGUUGGUGUCACAUCAUUGCCAUCAGAGGAUUCUGUUUCUGAAAGGAGGAGGAAGCUGGAGUAUCUUGAGAUGCAGGAAGAACUGAUCAAGGAGGAGGAAGAAAAAGAGGAAGAGGAGCUUUCCAGAAUGAAAGAAUCUAAAGUUAAUCAGGAGGAUGUGGCGCUGAAAGAGAUGAUUACACCCACAGCACGUGAAGCACAAGAACUGGCUAGAGCAAGAACAUUGGAGAAACAAGAGCAGCUUUGUGAACUUAGUCGCGCAGUUUUAGCUUCAGCAUCUUCAGUGAGUAGAGAACGUGAAGAGUUCUUAAGCCUAGUCAAUAAGGAGAUAGAGCUUUACAAUAGCACGGUAGAGAAGGAGGGCACAGAUGGUGAAAAAGAGGCCAUUAGGGCUUAUAAAGCAGCCCGAGAUGAAAGUGAUCAUGCUUCUGAAGUGGAUGAGCGUGACAAUAUUUCUUCAGCACUAAUAGAUAAGGUUGAUGCCAUGCUGCAAAAACUUGAAAAGGAAAUUGAUGAUGUAGAUGCUAAAAUUGGUGAUCAUUGGAGACUACUAGACAGGGAUUAUGAUGGCAAAGUUACACCUGAAGAGGUAGCGGCUGCUGCUAUAUAUUUGAAGGAUACAUUAGACAAGGAAGGUGUUCAAGAACUCAUCAGCAAUCUUUCCAAAGAUGGAGAUGGGAAGAUUCUUGUCGAAGACAUUGUCAAAUUGGGCAGUCGAAUGGAAGAUGGCAACAACAGCGCCGAAUAGUGGAAGUUGGAUAUUUUAUACAACUUUUCAUUCAUUCUAUUUUCCUGAUACUAAUACCUGCCUAAUCAGGAUUUUAGUUGGCUGAUCAAGAGCAUGCUUUCAAUUUCUCGAUGUUGGCCUCUAUACCUAGGUACUAUUUUGGAG
Molecule: unclassified non-coding RNA, 904 nt
Filed under: Hevea brasiliensis (rubber tree)
Lineage: Eukaryota; Viridiplantae; Streptophyta; Magnoliopsida; Malpighiales; Euphorbiaceae
Source: RNAcentral